AAGAGCGCGACGGGGACCGGCGGGCUGGCCCCUGCGCCCUUGGCCGCCGAGCUUGUACUGGAAGAGAGGGAGGAGGCGGGGGCGCGGUCUCGCGGGGCCGCGGGUGGCUUCCGGCCUGGGCCCGCCUCCGGGGCAACGCUGCCCAUUGGACAACCCGCCCCUGAGGCUAGUGGCCCCGGGGUUGCCAGGGGAUCCCGUACCUGAGCAACCGCCCGGGCGCGUGGCUGAGGCUUCCCAGAUGCCCCGAGAGGCACGAAAUGAAUGGUGUGAUUGAGGAGGCCAAGCACUGGGGCAAAGGGAAGCCGCUGCUGGCCCCUCUGUGAGCUAAAGGAAGUGGCAAGAAUCUUAAGUGGAGACCAGUUUUGCCCCAAGCACAAAGUAGACAGAAGUACAAAAACUUCCUGUUUGCAGCUCCUGAGAACGUGUUCCAGUGAUGGAACCUCAAAGGAAUUUGUGCAUUCCUCUCCCACAAGUGUCCAGGGCAAAAGUGCUGGGAGAAUGAGUUCACAGAAGAAGCAAGAAUGGCAGAGCUCUGUGAGAUGAGCCAGUGUUCAAGAGAAAGAAAAAUAACUAAGUGAGCCAACACACUAGUUUUCCUCCAUAUAAAAAAGUUUGGGUAAAAGAGCUACUCAGAACUAUAAGCCACACGUGUAACUUUCCCAAGACACACACUGGGCAAGCUUACACAGAGACUAUAACCUGUCCCAGUUGGUAUGUCCAAAGCCUAGUCUCCUUACUUCCUGCCAGGAGUUCCAGGUCUGUCAGAGGACUCCAUUACUGAAGUUCACCUGGAUGAGAGGAAGGGAACGGUUUCCCAGUUAGGACAAAGUCCAGUCUCCAGAGGGACUGUGAUCUGUGUGUGCAUCCACACACCAACAUUUUGAUUUGACUGAAAGGGUACAGGUGGGCAGGGCGACGCAGAAGACUCCCAACUUUACAUGAUGAGACAGUGGAGCAGCAGCCAGCCAGUUUGAAGUUUGGGCAUGUUUGGGAUGCAGCCCUGAUUGUGUAUAAAAGGCUUCUGGAUGUCACCUUAACCGAGAAAGGAAGGAGGCACUUGUCCAGUCUUCAGGAGCACCCGGCCUCAGGCAGAACAUUCUAGGAAAGCUCAAAGAUGUCUUGGGAACUUCUGCAAUGAGUCCAGUGACUAUGGCGGAGGAAAGAGCCUGCUUGAUGGCCUCUGGCAGUCAGAGCUGAUCCAACAAGGCCUGACACUAGAAAUCCAAAAGCCUGAGCCCCUCUAACCAGCCCGUCUUCCUUACAGGUACUCUAUUCCACAAACUGAGCACAAAG
This 1293-nucleotide long non-coding RNA is filed under the name Cricetulus griseus (Chinese hamster). Its description in RNAcentral is "lncRNA (ENSCGRG00015029707.1)". Lineage: Eukaryota; Metazoa; Chordata; Mammalia; Rodentia; Cricetidae. The record is from RNAcentral.